UUGAAGAAUUUGAAGACUUCUACUUUCAUACUUGAAUAAUUUUAAGACUUCAACUUGGAGACUUAAAGAAUUGCAGGACUCCAACU
Molecule: microRNA precursor, 86 nt
Filed under: Solanum lycopersicum (tomato)
Lineage: Eukaryota; Viridiplantae; Streptophyta; Magnoliopsida; Solanales; Solanaceae
Description: MIR8024 microRNA precursor family
Rfam family: MIR8024 microRNA precursor family
Source: Rfam by way of RNAcentral